UCUACGGGAGGCAGCAGUGAGGAAUAUUGGUCAAUGGACGCAAGUCUGAACCAGCCAUGCCGCGUGCAGGAAGACGGCUCUAUGAGUUGUAAACUGCUUUUGUACGAGGGUAAACGCAGAUACGCGUAUCUGUCUGAAAGUAUCGUACGAAUAAGGAUCGGCUAACUCCGUGCCAGCAGCCGCGGUAAUACGGAGGAUUCAAGCGUUAUCCGGAUUUAUUGGGGUUAAAGGGUGCGUAGGCGGUCGGAUAAGUUAGAGGUUAAAUCCCGAGGCUCAAAUUCGGAAUUGCCUCUGAAACUGUUCGGCUAGAGAGUAGUUGCGGUAGGCGGAAUGUAUGGUGUAGCGGUGAAAUGCUUAGAGAUCAUACAGAACACCGAUUGCGAAGGCAGCUUACCAAGCUACGUCUGACGUUGAGGCACGAAAGCGUGGGGAGCAAACAGGAUUAGAUACCCCAGUAGUC
RNAcentral lists this ribosomal RNA (460 nucleotides) under uncultured bacterium. RNAcentral describes it as "partial 16S ribosomal RNA". It matches the Rfam family "Bacterial small subunit ribosomal RNA", at positions 338 to 795 of the family's 1533-position model. The record is from RNAcentral.